GAUGAAGAACGUAGCGAAAUGCGAUAAGUAAUGUGAAUUGCAGAAUUCAGUGAAUCAUCGAGUCUUUGAACGCACAUUGCGCCCCCUGGUAUUCCGGGGGGCAUGCCUGUCCGAGCGUCAUUGCUGCCCUCAAGCACGGCUUGUGUGUUGGGCCUCCGUCCUCCUCCCGGGGGACGGGCCCGAAAGGCAGCGGCGGCACCGCGUCCGGUCCUCGAGCGUAUGGGGCUUCGUCACCCGCUCUUGUAGGCCCGGCCGGCGCUUGCCGACACAUCAAUCUUUUUUCCAGGUUGACCUCGGAUCAGGUAGGGAUACCCGCUGAACUUAAGCAUAUCAUAGCGGAGGA
Molecule: unclassified non-coding RNA, 343 nt
Filed under: soil metagenome
Description: partial contains 5.8S ribosomal RNA, internal transcribed spacer 2, and large subunit ribosomal RNA
Rfam family: 5.8S ribosomal RNA (bases 1-120)
Source: RNAcentral